AUCCAAAUGACGAGUCCUACAUGGGACCAAACGUGCGUCCUGGGU
Molecule: non-coding RNA, 45 nt
Organism: Schistosoma rodhaini
Lineage: Eukaryota; Metazoa; Platyhelminthes; Trematoda; Strigeidida; Schistosomatidae
Source: Rfam